This 441-nucleotide ribosomal RNA is filed under the name uncultured bacterium. RNAcentral's name for it is "partial 16S ribosomal RNA". It matches the Rfam family "Bacterial small subunit ribosomal RNA", at positions 338 to 795 of the family's 1533-position model. The record is from RNAcentral.
CCUACGUGAGGCAGCAGUGGGGGAUAUUGCACAAUGGGGGGAACCCUGAUGCAGCGACGCCGCGUGGGUGAAGGAGUGCUUCGGCAUGUAAAGCCCUAUCGGCAGGGAAGAAGCAAGACGGUACCUGACUAAGAAGCCCCGGCUAACUACGUGCCAGCAGCCGCGGUAAUACGUAGGGGGCGAGCGUUAUCCGGAUUCACUGUGUGGAAAGGGAGCGUAGACGGCCAUGCAAGCCAGGGGUGAAAGCCCGGGGCCCAACCCCGGGACUGCCCUUGGAACUGUGCGGCUAGAGUGCGGGAGGGGCAGGCGGAAUUCCUGGUGUAGCGGUGAAAUGCGUAGAGAUCAGGAGGAACACCGGCGGCGAAGGCGGCCUGCUGGACCGCGACUGACGUUGAGGCCCGAAAGCGUGGGGAGCGAACAGGAUUAGAUACCCCUGUAGUC